GGCCAAAGGAUAAGGUUAAUCGGGAAUACUGGGCGUAAGCGCACGCAGGCGGUUUGUUAAGCUAGAUGUGAAAGCCCCGGGCUCAACCUGGGAUGGUCAUUUAAAACUGGCAGACUAGAGUCUUGGAGAGGGGAGUGGAAUUCCAGGUGUAGCGGUGAAAUGCGUAGAUAUCUGGAGGAACAUCAGUGGCGAAGGCGACUCCCUGGCCAAAGACUGACGCUCAUGUGCGAAAGUGUGGGUAGCGAACAGGAUUAGAUACCCUGGUAGUCCACACCGUAAACGCUGUCUACUAGCUGUUUGUGAUUUUAAAUCGUGAGUAGCGAAGCUAACGCGCUAAGUAGACCGCCUGGGGAGUACGGCCGCAAGGUUAAAACUCAAAUGAAUUGACGGGGGCCCGCACAAGCGGUGGAGCAUGUGGUUUAAUUCGAUGCAACGCGAAGAACCUUACCUACACUUGACAUGCAGAGAACUUUCUAGAGAUAGAUUGGUGCCUUCGGGAACUCUGACACAGGUGCUGCAUGGCUGUCGUCAGCUCGUGUCGUGAGAUGUUGGGUUAAGUCCCGCAACGAGCGCAACCCUUGUCCUUAGUUGCCAGCAUUAAGUUGGGUACUCUAAGGAGACUGCCGGUGACAAACCGGGAGGAAGGUGGGGACGACGUCAAGUCAUCAUGGGCCCUUACGUGUAAGGGCUACACACGUGCUACUAAUGGCAUUUACAGAGGGGAAGCGAGACAGUGAUGUGGAAGCGGACCUCUUUAAAAGAGUGUCGUAGUCCGGGAUUGGAGUCUGCAACUCGACUCCAUGAAGUCCGAAUCGCUAGUAAUCGCAGGUCAGAAUUACUGCGGUGAAUACUGUUCCCGGGCCUUGUACACACCCGCCCGUCAACACCAUGGGGAGUGGGGAUGCAAAAUAAAGUAGUUAUCCUAACCCUUCCGGAGGACCAUUACCCCUUUUGUGUUUCAUGACUGGGGGGGGAAUUCGUAACAAAGGUAACCAAUGAAGGUU
This 1004-nucleotide ribosomal RNA is filed under the name uncultured Alteromonas sp. Its description in RNAcentral is "bacterial SSU rRNA". It matches the Rfam family "Bacterial small subunit ribosomal RNA", at positions 526 to 1519 of the family's 1533-position model. Lineage: Bacteria; Pseudomonadati; Pseudomonadota; Gammaproteobacteria; Alteromonadales; Alteromonadaceae. The record is from RNAcentral.